GACGAACGCUGGCGGCGUGCUUAACACAUGCAAGUCGAACGGAAAGGCCCUGCUUUUGUGUGGUGCUCGAGUGGCGCACGGGUGAGUAACACGUGAGUAACCUGCCCUUGACUUUGGGAUAACUUCAGGAAACUGGGGCUAAUACCGGAUAGGAGCUCCUGCUGCAUGGUGGGGGUUGGAAAGUUUAGGCGGUUGGGGAUGGACUCGCGGCUUAUCAGCUUGUUGGGGGGGUAGUGGCUUACCAAGGCUUUGACGGGUAGCCGGCCUGAGAGGGUGACCGGCGACAUUGCGCCUGAGAUACGGCCCAGACGCCUACGGUAGGCAGCAGGGGGGAAUAUGGCACAAUGGGCGGACGCCUGAGGCAGAAAUGCCGCGUGUGGGAUGACGGCCUACGGGGUGUAAACCGCAUUCGCCUGUGACGAAGCGUGAGUGACGGUAAUGGGUAAAGAAGCACCGGCUAACUACGUG
RNAcentral lists this ribosomal RNA (468 nucleotides) under uncultured bacterium. RNAcentral's name for it is "partial 16S ribosomal RNA". It matches the Rfam family "Bacterial small subunit ribosomal RNA", at positions 28 to 507 of the family's 1533-position model. The record is from RNAcentral.